GACGAACGCUGGCGGCGUGCUUAACACAUGCAAGUCGAGCGACGCUCUUCCUUCGGGGAGAUGACGGAGCGGCGAACGGGUGAGUAACACGUGGGCACCCUGCCCCUAGCUCUGGGACAACACCGGGAAACCGGUGCUAAUACCGGAUACGACAUCGAGCGGCAUCUCUCGAUGUGGAAAGUUUUUUCGGCUAGGGAUGGGCCCGCGGCCUAUCAGCUUGUUGGUGGGGUAAUGGCCCACCAAGGCGACGACGGGUAGCCGGCCUGAGAGGGCGACCGGCCACACUGGGACUGAGACACGGACCAGACUCCUACGGGAGGCAGCAGUGGGGAAUAUUGCGCAAUGGGCGAAAGCCUGACGAAGCGACGCCGCGUGAGGGAUGACGGCCUUCGGGUUGUAAACCUCUUUCAGCAGGGACGAAUUCAGACGGUACCUGCAGAAGAAGCACCGGCCAACUACGUG
Molecule: ribosomal RNA, 462 nt
Filed under: uncultured bacterium
Lineage: Bacteria
Description: partial 16S ribosomal RNA
Rfam family: Bacterial small subunit ribosomal RNA
Source: RNAcentral